GAAACUGAGGCCCCAGGACCCCCAGAGCUAGAGGCUGAACCUGGCAUGAACCCAAGAGCUCUAGGCAACCAAAUCUGUUCUCUUCCCUUCAAGGGCCUCCCUGCAGGAUUAUGAGAAGCCAAGAUGGUAAAGAGAUAUUUGUAGUUGCCAUCUGGAGAUUCUUUUGGGCAACAUCAUGAUCUCCUGGAAAGAGAGGUUCAGCUGGAACUUGAGGCACUGGGCAACUCUCUGGACGUCAGUGGCAAGCCCGGCCAGACCGAUGUACAACCAACCACCCAUGGGAAAGAUCUCCUGGAAGUCCGUGGUCACCAUCUGGGCCUGGAUCCCGAAGUGCCUGUCUGCAGCGAUGGCCACACGGUUCUUCCCCUUCAUGGCCAUGAUGGCUCCUCCGUUAUAGGACAUAAUAGACAUGAUUGUGUGGUAUACGAGGACCCCUCCAUUGCCGGAGCAAUUCCAGUAAACCGGGUCUAGCCUUCACUCCUGCCCAUCAUUUCUGACAUUUAGACUCUACAUAGAGGGUCCUGAGAUUCCAGGCCUUUACUCAUCCUGCAUCCCCUACCUACUUGGAUGAAUAUUAAUAUUUACAAUAACAGAGAAAAGUUCUCCAGAAUGUCUGGGAGGUGAAAGAAGUUAAAUAAAUGGAAAGUGUUGUUA
RNAcentral lists this long non-coding RNA (654 nucleotides) under Homo sapiens (human). RNAcentral's name for it is "non-protein coding lnc-IGFBP2-1:1". The record is from RNAcentral. Lineage: Eukaryota; Metazoa; Chordata; Mammalia; Primates; Hominidae.